Molecule: small nuclear RNA, 103 nt
Organism: Sorex fumeus (smoky shrew)
Lineage: Eukaryota; Metazoa; Chordata; Mammalia; Eulipotyphla; Soricidae
Source: RefSeq, a predicted model, not a curated record
UCGCUCCAGCUUCGGCAGCACAUAUACUAAAAUUGGAAUGAUACGGAGAAGAUUAGCAUGGCCUUUUUAUCAUAAGAAUAAAAAUAAUGUACUCUUAUUUUAU